GACGAACGCUGGCGGCGUGCUUAACACAUGCAAGUCGAACGGUGAAGCGCCUUCCUUUUUGGUGGGUGUGGAUGAGUGGCGAACGGGUGAGUAACACGUGAGUAACCUGCCCCCUUCUUCUGGAUAACCGCAUGAAAGUGUGGCUAAUACGGGAUAUUCUGGGUCUGUCGCAUGAUGGGUCUGGGAAAGAUAUUGUUUCGGUGGGGGAUGGGCUCGCGGCCUAUCAGCUUGUUGGUGGGGUGAUGGCCUACCAAGGCGGUGACGGGUAGCCGGCCUGAGAGGGUGGACGGUCACACUGGGACUGAGACACGGCCCAGACUCCUACGGGAGGCGGCAGUGGGGAAUAUUGCACAAUGGGCGCAAGCCUGAUGCCGCGACGCCGCGUGAGGGAUGGAGGCCUUCGGGUUGUGAACCUCUUUCGCCAGUGAAGCAGGCCUGCCUCGUUUGUGGGUGGGUUGACGGUAGCUGGAUAAGAAGCGCCGGCUAACUACGUG
RNAcentral lists this ribosomal RNA (494 nucleotides) under uncultured bacterium. RNAcentral's name for it is "partial 16S ribosomal RNA". It matches the Rfam family "Bacterial small subunit ribosomal RNA", at positions 28 to 507 of the family's 1533-position model. The record is from RNAcentral.